This 449-nucleotide ribosomal RNA is filed under the name uncultured soil bacterium. RNAcentral describes it as "bacterial SSU rRNA". It matches the Rfam family "Bacterial small subunit ribosomal RNA", at positions 26 to 476 of the family's 1533-position model. The record is from RNAcentral.
AGAUUGAACGCUGGCGGCAUGCCUAACACAUGCAAGUCGAACGGGAGUAGCAAUACUCUAGUGGCGGACGGGUGAGGAAUACGUAGGAAUUUGCCCUUAAGUGGGGGAUAACCCGGGGAACCCGGAUUAAUACCGCAUGACCUCGAAAGAGCAAAGUGGGGGAUCGCAAGACCUCACGCUUUUGGAGAAGCCUACGUCGGAUUAGCUAGUUGGUGAGGUAAUGGCUCACCAAGGCGACGAUCCGUAAUGGUCUGAGAGGAUGAUCAGUCACACCGGAACUGAGACACGGUCCGGACCCCUACGGGAGGCAGCAGUGGGGAAUAUGGGACAAGUGGGCGCAACGCCUGAUCCAGCAAUGCCGACGUGUGUGAAGGUAAGGCCGUUCGGUUAGUAAAGUACUAACGUUUAACGGUUAGGGAAGUAAAAAACGUCGACCUACUAACACAAGU